RNAcentral lists this non-coding RNA (30 nucleotides) under Mus musculus (house mouse). Lineage: Eukaryota; Metazoa; Chordata; Mammalia; Rodentia; Muridae. The record is from RNAcentral.
UGGAUGUUAAUUUUCUUGAUGGCUUCAAGU